CGCCUUCCGGGCCUGGCCGGUUCCGCCUGCAGGCGCCGGGAUGCUGCUGUCGCGGGCGGGCGGUGUGGCGGGCCGGGUCCCGCCGCCGCUGGCCGCCCUGUCCCAGGUGCUGCGGCUGGAGCGGAGCCGCCGCACCGGGAUCAUGUUCCCGCUGCAGAAGCUGGAGCGGUACCUGGCGCCCGGCACCGACACGGCGUGGUUCCACAUCUUCGAGCCCGGGCUGGGCGCCCUGCAGCGCGCCGAGGCGUUCUUCAGGUCCGGCCAGGGCCACCCCAUCGACUACGUGAGCUCCGCCGUCCGCAUGGACCACGCUCCGCCGCCCGCCCUGCCCGAGGUUUGCUUCAUCGGCCGAAGCAAUGUAGGGAAGUCAUCUUUAAUCCGGGCCUUGUUUUCACUGUCUCCAGAAGUGGAGGUCAGAGUGUCAAAAACUCCGGGCCACACUAAGAAGAUGAAUUUCUUCAAAGUAGGGAAGUACUUUACUCUGGUGGAUAUGCCAGGAUACGGCUACCGCGCCCCGCAAGACUUUGUGGAGAUGGUGGAGGCCUACCUGCAGGAACGGCGCAACUUGAAGAGGACUUUUCUGUUAGUUGAUGGUGUAGUUGGACUCCAGAAAACAGAUCAUAUUGCAGUAGAGAUGCUGGAAGAGUUUGGAAUUCCUUAUGUGAUGGUGUUAACCAAAAUUGACCGAGCUUCCCGGGGACUGUUGUUAAAGAAUGUACUGGGGAUCCAGGAGUUUGUAAAGGAGAACACUCAGGGAUGCUUUCCUCAAUUGUUCCUGGUCAGUUCUGUGGAGUUUUCAGGAGUUCACUUGCUAAGGUGUUUUGUAGCCCACGUUACUGGAAACCUGGCUGCUGUAGAGACCAGCUAAAAAGACUGACUCCUGAUCUGCUCAGCUCAUCCGGAACAAAAGUAGGUGCAGUGAGAUAGCACGCCUUGCUUGCAUACAUCGAGUUGUCCCUGUUCCAGAUGGGUGAAGGAAAGGACACAUCUUCAAUGGGAUCUACUUUUCGAUCACUGUUGGCUUGAAACAGUGAAAUGAAAGACUGGCCAUCUGGAGGAACCCUCUUUUUCUGCACAUUAUCAUCAGUCAGUGCUGCAUUUCUGUUCUCGAUCCAGCAUGAAGUUCUGCAUCUGCACUCGGAUGAAUUGCCAGAUCUGAGACCUGUUGUCCAUUAUCUGUGUCUGUUCUGCCCUGGCAGCUGAAGCACAGUACUGAUGUGUCCCAUACUCUUUAGGGGUACUGUAGCAGCUCAGAGAACUGUGUCCCACACCAGCUGUGUCUGGCUAAGAGCACCUGAAACUGUGAAGUUUACAAGGUGACCUGACUGGUGGAUGAGGGGAAGACUGUCGAUGUGGUCUACGUGGACUUCAGCAAAGCCUUUGGUGAAGUGUCCCAUAGCAUACUCCUGAAAAAGCUGGCAGCCCAUGGCUUUGACAGGGGCACUCUGUGCUGGGUUAGGAAUUGGCUGGAGGGCCGGGCCCAGAGAGUGGUGGUGUCCCUCAGGGAUCAGUGUUGGGUCCAGUUCUAUUUAAUAUCUUUAUUGAUGAUCUGGAAGAGGGGAUUGAGUCCACCAUCAGCAAAUUUGCAGGUGGCACCAAGCUGAGGGGCGUGUCAAUUUGCUGGAGGGUAGGAGGACUCUGCAGGGGAAACUGGACAGGCUGGAUGGAUGGCUCAAAUCCAAUAGUAUGAGAUUUAACAAGACCAAGUGCCAGGUCCUGCACUUUGGCCACAACAACCUCCUGCAGCACUACAGGCUGGGCACAGAGCAGCCAGGCAGAGAGAGACCUGGGGGUUCUGAUUGACAGGAGGCUGAACAUGAUCCAGGAGUGUGCCCAGGUGGCCAAGAAGGCCAAUUGCAUCCUGGCCUGUAUCAGGAACAGUUUGGCCAACAGGACUAGGGAAGUGAUUGUCCCUCCAUACUCAGCACUGGUUAGGCCACUGCUCAAGUACUGUGUCCAGUUCUGGGCCCCUCAGUUUAGGAAGGAUGUUGAGGUGCUGGAGCGUGUCCAGAGAAGGGUAACAAAGCUGGUGAAGGGUCUGGAGCACAAGUCCUAUGAGGAGCAGCUGAGGGAGCUGGUGUUUUUUAGCCUGGACAAAAGGAGGCUUGGGGGGAUCCUCAUUGCUCUCUACAACUUCCUGAAAGGAGGUCAUAGCCAAGUGGGGGUCAGUCUCCCAGGCAGCUAGCGACAGGACAAGAGAACAGAGUCUUAAGCUACGCCAAGGGAGGCUCAGGUUGGACAUUAGGAAGAAGUUCUUCUCAGUAAGAGUGAUUGGGCAUUGGAAUGGACAACCCAGGGAGGUGGUGAAGUCACCAUCCCUGGAGGUGUUUUAAGAAAAGACAGGAUGAGGCACUUAGUGUCAUGGUCUAGAUGGAGUUAGGUCAUAGGUUGGACUCGAUAACCUCAGAGGUCUUUUCCAACCUCGUUGAUUCUCUGAUUCUGUGAAUUCUUUUACAAACCACUUAAAUACAUUAAAUGUGUCUAGUAAAUCCAUUUGUAUAAAAAGUGGGACGUGUGCCUGGAACAGUAGGUACCUUCUUAUCCUGAAGAACCAGCUUUGCCUCUGGACACAUCUUGUAUUUCUGCUGUGCUAGUCAAAAGAUCUUUACUCACAAGUGCUUCAAAUAGUGGAAUAACUUGCAUUUUGCUCAGCCAUUUGCAGGCGAGAACACCACAGUUGGAUUCUUGAGUGCAACAGUGCCCCUGUGACAAGUGACAAGUAAGACAGCAAAUAAAAGCAAGUCCUCUCCUUUACUUAAACAGUAAAA
RNA transcript from Pseudopipra pipra, 2768 nucleotides. It is a transcript of the gene named GTP binding protein 8 (putative), with no coding region annotated. The record is from RefSeq and is a predicted model, not a curated record. The transcript has 8 exons. Lineage: Eukaryota; Metazoa; Chordata; Aves; Passeriformes; Pipridae.